GAUGAACGCUGACAGAAUGCUUAACACAUGCAAGUCUACUUGAAUUUGGGUUUUUUAACUUCGAUUUGGGUGGCGGACGGGUGAGUAACGCGUAAAGAACUUGCCUCACAGCUAGGGACAACAUUUGGAAACGAAUGCUAAUACCUGAUAUUAUGAUUAUAAGGCAUCUUAGAAUUAUGAAAGCUAUAUGCGCUGUGAGAGAGCUUUGCGUCCCAUUAGCUAGUUGGAGAGGUAACGGCUCACCAAGGCGAUGAUGGGUAGCCGGCCUGAGAGGGUGAACGGCCACAAGGGGACGGAGACACGGCCCUUACUCCUACGGGAGGCAGCAGUGGGGAAUAUUGGACAAUGGACCAAGAGUCUGAUCCAGCAAUUCUGUGUGCACGAUGACGUUUUUCGGAAUGUAAAGUGCUUUCAGUUGGGAAGAAAAAAAUGACGGUACCAACAGAAGAAGUGACGGCUAAAUACGUG
Molecule: ribosomal RNA, 468 nt
Filed under: uncultured bacterium
Lineage: Bacteria
Description: partial 16S ribosomal RNA
Rfam family: Bacterial small subunit ribosomal RNA
Source: RNAcentral